UACGUAGGGGGCUAGCGUUGUCCGGAUUUAUUGGGCGUAAAGAGCGUGUAGGCGGCCAGGUAGGUCCGUUGUGAAAACUCGAGGCUCAACCUCGAGACGUCGGCGGAAACCCUCUGGCUAGAGUCCGGAAGAGGAGAGUGGAAUUCCUGGUGUAGCGGUGAAAUGCGCAGAUAUCAGGAAGAACACCGAUGGCGAAGGCAGUUCUCUGGGCCGUAACCGACGCUGAGGAGCGAAAGCGUGGGGAGCGAACAGG
This 253-nucleotide ribosomal RNA is filed under the name uncultured bacterium. Its description in RNAcentral is "partial 16S ribosomal RNA". It matches the Rfam family "Bacterial small subunit ribosomal RNA", at positions 524 to 776 of the family's 1533-position model. The record is from RNAcentral.